RNAcentral lists this long non-coding RNA (344 nucleotides) under Monodelphis domestica (gray short-tailed opossum). Its description in RNAcentral is "lncRNA (ENSMODG00000051293.1)". The record is from RNAcentral. Lineage: Eukaryota; Metazoa; Chordata; Mammalia; Didelphimorphia; Didelphidae.
CUUGGGACCUCCAUUGGGAAUAUUGUUCAAGUAGCUGUUCUCGGAAGGAAGGACAGUACACAUCUGCUAAAAGGAUGUUGUCUCAGGAAGAUAUGCUUUGUUAUGCUGAGUCAAAGCUGAAUGAUCACCUUUCUCCAGAAAAAGAAUAGUAGCAGGAUAACCCAGCACUUCCUGACUGAGAGACCAACUGCUCUUCCAGUCAGAAUCUUCUCCUCCUCAAGAUUCCAAUCUCCUCCUGGGACCCCUCUCCCCUCCAGGUGAUCAGUUCCACACACUCUUCAGUCUGGCACUUUUCCUUUAGUACCAGCCUCUGUCACGGUAUCUUGUGAAAUACAUCUUCCAUG